GAUGAACGCUGGCGGCGUGCCUAAUACAUGCAAGUCGAGCGAACGGACGAGAAGCUUGCUUCUCUGAUGUUAGCGGCGGACGGGUGAGUAACACGUGGAUAACCUACCUAUAAGACUGGGAUAACUUCGGGAAACCGGAGCUAAUACCGGAUAAUAUUUUGAACCGCAUGGUUCAAAAGUGAAAGACGGUCUUGCUGUCACUUAUAGAUGGAUCCGCGCUGCAUUAGCUAGUUGGUAAGGUAACGGCUUACCAAGGCAACGAUGCAUAGCCGACCUGAGAGGGUGAUCGGCCACACGAGAACUGAGACACGGUCCAGACUCCUACGGGAGGCAGCAGUAGGGAAUCUUCCGCAAUGGGCGAAAGCCUGACGGAGCAACGCCGCGUGAGUGAUGAAGGUCUUCGGAUCGUAAAACUCUGUUAUUAGGGAAGAACAUAUGUGUAAGUAACUGUGCACAUCUUGACGGUACCUAAUCAGAAAGCCACGGCUAACUACGUG
This 497-nucleotide ribosomal RNA is filed under the name uncultured bacterium. RNAcentral's name for it is "partial 16S ribosomal RNA". It matches the Rfam family "Bacterial small subunit ribosomal RNA", at positions 28 to 507 of the family's 1533-position model. The record is from RNAcentral.